CUUUAAUAUAGAUAAUGUAUUGUAUUCCUCAUCGAACCCCUAGAAGAGUCUAGAAACUGUAUCACGAUCACUAAUACUGGGGAUGAAGAGAAGACCCUAGCUGGACAUAUUCUCAAGUGCCAGAGUGCUGGAGUAGAAUCCACAUUCAAGUUUACCACGAACCACAAGGUUGCUCCAGGAGGAGCUAUCACGGUCUGGAGCUCAGAUAGCGGGGUAGACCAUGAUGUUGGAUCUGGGCAGCUGGUGAUGAAGUCUGGAGCCUGGAAGAUUGGAGUGGAUGAGGUGAAUAAUGUGUAAGUGAACAAGGAGGGUGAGGAGAUUGCUGCUAGUGAAACUACCUGGGAGAAACAAGUUUCAGGAUCCAGGCUGCAGUUCUCUGGGGA
Long non-coding RNA from Eurytemora carolleeae, 383 nucleotides. RefSeq lists it as uncharacterized. The record is from RefSeq and is a predicted model, not a curated record. The transcript has 4 exons. Lineage: Eukaryota; Metazoa; Arthropoda; Copepoda; Calanoida; Temoridae.